UGUACACACCGCCCGUCGCUCCUACCGAUUGAAUGAUCCGGUGAAGUGUUCGGAUCGCGCCGACGAAGGUGGUUCGCCGUCUUCGACGUCGUGAGAAGUUCACUGAACCUUAUCAUUUAAGGAAGGAAAUCGUAACAAGGUUACCGUAGGUGAACCUGCAGAAGGAUCAA
This 170-nucleotide ribosomal RNA is filed under the name Abies balsamea var. phanerolepis. RNAcentral's name for it is "partial small subunit ribosomal RNA". It matches the Rfam family "Eukaryotic small subunit ribosomal RNA", at positions 1661 to 1829 of the family's 1831-position model. The record is from RNAcentral. Lineage: Eukaryota; Viridiplantae; Streptophyta; Pinopsida; Pinales; Pinaceae.